ACACGUGGGCAACCUGCCUGUAAGACUGGGAUAACUUCGGGAAACCGAAGCUAAUACCGGAUAGGAUCUUCUCCUUCAUGGGAGAUGAUUGAAAGAUGGUUUCGGCUAUCACUUACAGAUGGGCCCGCGGUGCAUUAGCUAGUUGGUGAGGUAACGGCUCACCAAGGCAACGAUGCAUAGCCGACCUGAGAGGGUGAUCGGCCACACUGGGACUGAGACACGGCCCAUACUCCUACGGGAGGCAGCAGUAGGGAAUCUUCCGCAAUGGACGAAAGUCUGACGGAGCAACGCCGCGUGAGUGAUGAAGGCUUUCGGGUCGUAAAACUCUGUUGUUAGGGAAGAACAAGUACGAGAGUAACUGCUCGUACCUUGACGGUACCUAACCAGAAAUCCACGGCUAACUACGUGCCAGCAGCCGCGGUAAUACGUAUGUGGUAAGCGUUAUCCGGAAUUAUUGGGCGUAAAGCGCGCGCAGGCGGUUUCUUAAUUCUGAUGUGAAAGCCCACUGCUCAACCGUGGAGGGG
RNAcentral lists this ribosomal RNA (524 nucleotides) under Priestia megaterium. RNAcentral's name for it is "bacterial SSU rRNA". It matches the Rfam family "Bacterial small subunit ribosomal RNA", at positions 113 to 623 of the family's 1533-position model. The record is from RNAcentral. Lineage: Bacteria; Bacillati; Bacillota; Bacilli; Caryophanales; Bacillaceae.